GGAGAUCUAGCUCAGCGGUAGAGCACUUGCCCAACAUGUGCAAGGUCCUGGGUUCAAUCCCCAGUAGCACCA
RNAcentral lists this transfer RNA (72 nucleotides) under Heterocephalus glaber (naked mole-rat). It matches the Rfam family "tRNA". From Rfam's summary of the family: Transfer RNA (tRNA) molecules are approximately 80 nucleotides in length. Their secondary structure includes four short double-helical elements and three loops (D, anti-codon, and T loops). Lineage: Eukaryota; Metazoa; Chordata; Mammalia; Rodentia; Bathyergidae. The record is from Rfam by way of RNAcentral.